Molecule: ribosomal RNA, 468 nt
Filed under: uncultured bacterium
Lineage: Bacteria
Description: partial 16S ribosomal RNA
Rfam family: Bacterial small subunit ribosomal RNA
Source: RNAcentral
GACGAACGCUGGCGGCGUGCUUAACACAUGCAAGUCGAACGGAAAGGCCCUGCUUUUGUGGGGUGCUCGAGUGGCGAACGGGUGAGUAACACGUGAGUAACCUGCCCUUGACUUUGGGAUAACUUCAGGAAACUGGGGCUAAUACCGGAUAGGAGCUCCUGCUGCAUGGUGGGGGUUGGAAAGUUUCGGCGGUUGGGGAUGGACUCGCGGCUUAUCAGCUUGUUGGUGGGGUAGUGGCUUACCAAGGCUUUGACGGGUAGCCGGCCUGAGAGGGUGACCGGCCACAUUGGGACUGAGAGACGGCCCAGACUCCUAUGGGAGGCAGCAGGGGGGAAUCUUGCACAAUGGGAGGAAGCCGGAGGCAGCAACGCCGCGGGCGGGAUGACGGCCUUCGGGUUGUAAACCGCUUUCGCCUGUGACGAAGCGUGAGUGACGGUAAUGGGUAAAGAAGCACCGGCUAACUACGUG